GAAAUGCGAUAAGUAAUGUGAAUUGCAGAAUUCAGUGAAUCAUCGAAUCUUUGAACGCACAUUGCGCCCCCUGGUAUUCUGGGGGGCAUGCCUGUUCGAGCGUCAUUUCACCACUCAAGCCUCGCUUGGUAUUGGGCGACGCGGUCCGCCGCGCGCCUCAAAUCGACCGGCUGGGUCUUCCGUCCCCUCAGCGUUGUGGAAACUAUUCGCUAAAGGGUGCCGCGGGAGGUCACGCCGCAAAACAACCCCAUUUCUAAGGUUGACCUCGGAUCAGGUAGGGAUACCCGCUGAACUUAAGC
Molecule: unclassified non-coding RNA, 299 nt
Filed under: plant metagenome
Description: partial contains 5.8S ribosomal RNA, internal transcribed spacer 2, and large subunit ribosomal RNA
Rfam family: 5.8S ribosomal RNA (bases 1-105)
Source: RNAcentral